This 216-nucleotide long non-coding RNA is filed under the name Manihot esculenta (cassava). RNAcentral's name for it is "long non-coding RNA (MESC_LNC003726)". The record is from RNAcentral. Lineage: Eukaryota; Viridiplantae; Streptophyta; Magnoliopsida; Malpighiales; Euphorbiaceae.
CACUAGGAUCCAGAUCGGCUUAAGGCCGUCGGGACCCGUAGCAAGCCGACUAUACUCUCUGUGUACCUGAGAAAUCCCAUACAUGAUCAAAGAUACUCAACAAUCCUGUAAAACUCUCCAGGCUUAACUACUGCUACUCAAAUAUACCAAUCUGAAAUGGCCCUCAGGGCCUAUACCAGUGACUACUAUCUGCUGUGGGUCAAGGGCUUGAAACCC